UACAGAGGUCCCAAGCGUUGUUCGGAUUCACUGGGCGUAAAGGGUGCGUAGGCGGUCGGGUAAGUCUGGCGUGAAAUCUCCAAGCCUAACUUGGAAACUGCGUUGGAUACUAUCCGGCUCGAGGAAUGGAGGGGAGACUGGAAUACUUGGUGUAGCAGUGAAAUGCGUAGAUAUCAAGUGGAACACCAGUGGCGAAGGCGAGUCUCCGGACAUUUCCUGACGCUGAGGCACGAAAGCCAGGGGAGCAAACGGG
This 253-nucleotide ribosomal RNA is filed under the name uncultured bacterium. RNAcentral describes it as "partial 16S ribosomal RNA". It matches the Rfam family "Bacterial small subunit ribosomal RNA", at positions 524 to 776 of the family's 1533-position model. The record is from RNAcentral.